Non-coding RNA from Peromyscus maniculatus bairdii (prairie deer mouse), 1577 nucleotides. The record is from RefSeq and is a predicted model, not a curated record. NCBI's taxonomy places the organism in Eukaryota, Metazoa, Chordata, Mammalia, Rodentia, Cricetidae.
UGUUGUCACAACACUGGUGACAUCACAGGAGAUGCCAGGGCUCUCCAGGAUACAAUAGAAUGUUUCAGAAAGAGACUGCUGAUGCCAUAUUGUAUAGUCCUUGACUCCCUGCUAACUAGCUCACCUCAAACUGACUUUAAUACAAGGAAUGUAACAUCUGCUGAAUGCACAGUGCAAGGAACACUGAACUUGGGAUAUUCUGGCACUUGUCAUUCAAAGUAUAAAAGACGCAACUUUGGACACAUUACUGGAUACAUUAAUAAAACGUUCACUGUAUGAUUGUUCUUGCAGAGGACCCAGCUUCCAUUCCACAAGGUAGCUCCCAACCCUCCCUAACUCCAAUUCCAGGUGAUAUUCUGCCAUCUUUUGGCUUUUUUGGGUACUGCAAAAAUGUUUUGGGGUUCUGCAAAAAUGAAGAUUUUAAAUGUGUCGAGUAUUAUAUUUUUACUGACACCCUCACAACCUAUUCUCAUGUGUGGGUUCAUGUGUUAUGUCUUUUCUGGUAACUUCCUUCUUCUUGUUCUUUGAAACUGGGUCCCUCUCUGUAUUCCUGACAGUACUGGAACUCAUUAUGUCUGUAAACUGUGCUAGCCUCAAACUCACAGCUAUCCAACUGACUCUGCCUCCAGGAGCUACAGUAAAAGAGGGUACCUCCAUGCCCCACCUUUGGGGGUAACUGUUUUGUUUUGUUUUGUCUUUUGAGACAGAAUCUCACUAGGUAGCCCAGACUGUCUCGAAACUUGCUAUGUAGGCUAGGCUGGCUUAGGACACAGAGAUCCACCUGCCUGUGCAUCUCAAGUGUUGCUCUCAGUGCUACAGUGACGAAUCCCUCAUUGGCAUAAGGAGUCAAGGAAUCCCUGCUCAUUCACCUCAGUUCAGAUUUGGUUUUCUGUCUUACAGGUUGGAAAAGAAGUAUAUCUUAUACUCGUCAGCUUUGAUUGUGGUCAGCACCAUUGGGCAGCUUGUGCAUAAUGAGAAGUAGCUGUGCCCAGGAGGAGGUCAUGUUUCUCACAGACAGCAUGGAUUCACACUCUCCUCCAUCAGCAUGGCCUCCACAGGUGGUGGCCAGGCAUGAGCAGCAAGCAGGGUGACCAACAUUGGUGCCAUUCGGACUCGGAUACACCACCAAGCACCAAGGACCUGCUGUGACUGCUGCCACCUGCCACCUCUUCCCCCAUCCAGUGAGACUGGGAGACAAUGAGACCGCAAGACUGUGAGUGCCACCUCCACUGGACCCCCACACAACUACCACUACCAUCACCACAUUCCCUUGUUCUAACUCACUGUUCAGCUAAUGGUACAGGACCACCACAGAACCGGAGUCCAGAGAUCAUCACAUGAGAAACUAUAACAACUAAAGCAUCUUGUCAAACAGAAAGUUCCCAGCCACAGCCAAGAGGGAUACAUGUCUCCAGAGCAAACAGGUAACAGACAGCAUCCCAUAUUGCCUGUCUACCUUAGAAGACUCAAGAGGCAACCGACAUCCAAUUGUCAGCUGGAAGCAGUUUUUGAGAGGAACAAUGCCCCUAUUCCCAUUUACCUGCUUUUUUUAUAAUAAAAAAAAGUCUGGGAUGUAA